CCUACGGGUGGCUGCAGUGAGGAAUAUUGGUCAAUGGGCGCGAGCCUGAACCAGCCAAGUAGCGUGAAGGAUGACUGCCCUACGGGUUGUAAACUUCUUUUAUAAAGGAGUAAAGUGAGGCACGUGUGCCUUUUUGUAUGUACUUUAUGAAUACGGAUCGGCUAACUCCGGGCCAGCAGCCGCGGUAAUACGGAGGAUCCGAGCGUUAUCCGGGUUUAUUGGGUUUAAAGGGAGCGUAGAUGGGUUGUUAAGUCAGUUGUGAAAGUUUGCGGCUCAACCGUAAAAUUGCAAUUGAUACUGGCAGCCUUGAGUACGGUUGAGGUAAGCGGAAUUCGUGGUGUAGCGGUGAAAUGCUUAGAUAUCACGAAGAACUCCGAUUGCGAAGGCAGCUUACUAAACUGCCACUGACAUUGAUGCUCGAAAGUGUGGGUAUCAAACAGGAUUAGAUACCCGAGUAGUC
RNAcentral lists this ribosomal RNA (460 nucleotides) under uncultured bacterium. RNAcentral describes it as "partial 16S ribosomal RNA". It matches the Rfam family "Bacterial small subunit ribosomal RNA", at positions 338 to 795 of the family's 1533-position model. The record is from RNAcentral.